UAGGGAAUAUUGGUCAAUGGAUGCAAGUCUGAACCAGCCAUGCCGCGUGCAGGAAGAAGGCCUUCUGGGUUGUAAACUGCUUUUGCCGGGGGAUAAAAAUACCUUGCGAGGUAAAUUGAAGGUACCCGGUGAAUAAGCCACGGCUAACUACGUGCCAGCAGCCGCGGUAAUACGUAGGUGGCAAGCGUUGUCCGGAUUUAUUGGGUUUAAAGGGUGCGUAGGCGGUCCUAUAAGUCAGUGCUGAAAUAUCCCGGCUUAACCGGGAGGGUGGCAUUGAUACUGCAGGACUUGAGUAGAGUUGAGGUUGGCGGAAUUGACGGUGUAGCGGUGAAAUGCUUAGAUAUCGUCAAGAACACCGAUAGUGUAGACAGCUAACUAAGCUCUAACUGACGCUGAGGCACGAAAGUGUGGGGAUCAAACAGGAUUAGAUACCCUGGUAGUCCACACUGUAAACGUUGAUUACUCGCUGUUGGCGAUAUACAGUCAGCGGCUUAGCGCAAGCGAUAAGUAAUCCACCUGGGGAGUACGCCGGCAACGGUGA
RNAcentral lists this ribosomal RNA (541 nucleotides) under uncultured Bacteroidota bacterium. RNAcentral describes it as "bacterial SSU rRNA". It matches the Rfam family "Bacterial small subunit ribosomal RNA", at positions 355 to 897 of the family's 1533-position model. The record is from RNAcentral. Lineage: Bacteria; Pseudomonadati; Bacteroidota.